UUUCUUCACAAGUAUAGAGAUUUCAAGAGAUCACUGAAGCUAGUCCAUGAUGGAAAAAGUAUAGAUGCAGCUCAUGAAGCCGUGGAGAGACUUGUAUCGCUAAUGAAGAGCCCUUCUACUCCUCAACGAUUCUGGCUUCCUCUUCUGCAUGAUUCAGUAAAG
Non-coding RNA from Camelina sativa (false flax), 162 nucleotides. Lineage: Eukaryota; Viridiplantae; Streptophyta; Magnoliopsida; Brassicales; Brassicaceae. The record is from RefSeq and is a predicted model, not a curated record.